RNAcentral lists this ribosomal RNA (720 nucleotides) under uncultured bacterium. RNAcentral describes it as "bacterial SSU rRNA". It matches the Rfam family "Bacterial small subunit ribosomal RNA", at positions 60 to 820 of the family's 1533-position model. The record is from RNAcentral.
AGUCGUACGAGAAAGGGCUUCGGCCCUGAGUAAAGUGGCGCACGGGUGAGUAACGCGUGGGUAUCUGCCCUUAGGUCUGGAAUAACUUGUCGAAAGACAAGCUAAUACCAGAUGAUAUUGUAAAAUCAAAGCCGUAAGGUGCCUAAGGAUGAGCCCGCGUCCCAUUAGCUAGUUGGUGGGGUAAUGGCCUACCAAGGCGACGAUGGGUAGCUGGUCUGAAAGGAUGAUCAGCCACACUGGAACUGAAACACGGUCCAGACUCCUACGGGAGGCAGCAGUGAGGAAUAUUGCGCAAUGGGAGCAAUCCUGACGCAGCAACGCCGCGUGAGUGACGAAGGCCUUCGGGUUGUAAAGCUCUGUUGAGAGGGAAGAAUUCUGACGGUACCUCUCGAGGAAGCACCGGCUAACUCCGUGCCAGCAGCCGCGGUAAUACGGAGGGUGCAAGCGUUGUUCGGAAUCACUGGGCGUAAAGCGGGUGUAGGCGGUUUAUUAAGUCAGAUGUGAAAGCCCAAGGCUUAACCAUGGAAGUGCAUCUGAAACUGAUAGGCUAGAGUUCUAGAGAGGAAAGUGGAAUUCCUGGUGUAGAGUGAAAUCCGUAUAUAUCAGAGGAAUACCAGUGGCGAAGGCGACUUUCUGGAUAGAUACUGACGCUAAGACCGAAGCGUGGGGAGCAAACAGAUUAGAUACCCUGGUAGUUCACGCCUAACGAUGGAUACUAGU